Molecule: long non-coding RNA, 427 nt
Filed under: Gallus gallus (chicken)
Lineage: Eukaryota; Metazoa; Chordata; Aves; Galliformes; Phasianidae
Source: RNAcentral
CCUCGUCCCGCUCUCCGACGGCAGUCAGGCCUCACGGGGCCCCGUACCCGCCGGGCCGCGCCGCUGCCAUGGGAACGGGGGCGGGCCCCGGCGCCGCUCCCAUACAGCAGCGCUGACGGGCAGCGGCGGACCCGCCUCCCCAGUUCCCGCGAUGACACCGAGGCCUUCAGCAAGAGCAUGAGCCACCUUCUGCCCAAUCAACUGUGGAUGGAAGAGGAAUAAGAUAGACCCGCUGGCCUGUUUUCUGGUAGUGCUUUUCCACAUACUGUUUCCCAAAGCCCAGGAACGUGUUCAUGCAGAUAUAUAAGCCGCCAUCGGAUUCCGGCGUGUCGAAGGAGAAGGCGCACUCGUCCUUAUGGACCCGGUCGCCGGCCUUAGGCACCCGGAUGGACGGCAACACCGAGAGCAGCGCUUCGCUCAGCUCCGC